GGGGCCGUCGUCUAGCCAGGCUAGGACUCCAGGCUCCAGACCUGGGUACGUGGGUUCGAAUCCCACCGGCCCCA
RNAcentral lists this transfer RNA (74 nucleotides) under Candidatus Aenigmarchaeota archaeon ex4484_224. RNAcentral describes it as "tRNA-Trp". It matches the Rfam family "tRNA". Rfam says of the family: Transfer RNA (tRNA) molecules are approximately 80 nucleotides in length. Lineage: Archaea; Nanobdellati; Candidatus Aenigmatarchaeota. The record is from RNAcentral.